AAGACUAUACUUUCAGGGAUCAUUUCUAUAGUUUGUUAAAUUUGAACUGUGACAAAAGCACUGGAUAUAAAAACAAGUGUUUGU
The sequence is a small nucleolar RNA, 84 nucleotides long. Its record names the gene U3. It matches the Rfam family "Small nucleolar RNA U3". From Rfam's summary of the family: Small nucleolar RNAs (snoRNAs) are involved in the processing and modification of rRNA in the nucleolus. There are two main classes of snoRNAs: the box C/D class, and the box H/ACA class. U3 snoRNA is a member of the box C/D class. The record is from Ensembl.